AGCGAACGCUGGCGGUAGGCCUAACACAUGCAAGUCGAACGGCAGCACAGUAAGAGCUUGCUCUUACGGGUGGCGAGUGGCGGACGGGUGAGGAAUACAUCGGAAUCUACUUUUUCGUGGGGGAUAACGUAGGGAAACUUACGCUAAUACCGCAUACGACCUACGGGUGAAAGCAGGGGAUCUUCUGACCUUGCGCGAUUGAAUGAGCCGAUGUCGGAUUAGCUAGUUGGCGGGGUAAAGGCCCACCAAGGCGACGAUCCGUAGCUGGUCUGAGAGGGUGAUCAGCCACACUGGAACUGAGACACGGUCCAGACUCCUACGGGAGGCAGCAGUGGGGAAUAUUGGACAAUGGGCGCAAGCCUGAUCCAGCCAUACCGCGUGGGUGAAGAAGGCCUUCGGGUUGUAAAGCCCUUUUGUUGGGAAAGAAAAGCAGCAGGUUAAUACCCCGCUGUUCUGACGGUACCCAAAGAGUAAGCACCGGCUAACUUCGUG
RNAcentral lists this ribosomal RNA (492 nucleotides) under uncultured bacterium. RNAcentral describes it as "partial 16S ribosomal RNA". It matches the Rfam family "Bacterial small subunit ribosomal RNA", at positions 29 to 507 of the family's 1533-position model. The record is from RNAcentral.